UGCAACCAAUGAUGCAACCUGUUUAUCUUUUCUGAGUUUUCUAUGAUUAUCAUCUAAAAUAUCACCAUCUUUCGGCUGAGGUUGCG
Alnus glutinosa is the source of this 86-nucleotide small nucleolar RNA. The record is from RefSeq and is a predicted model, not a curated record. NCBI's taxonomy places the organism in Eukaryota, Viridiplantae, Streptophyta, Magnoliopsida, Fagales, Betulaceae.